RNAcentral lists this ribosomal RNA (434 nucleotides) under bacterium. Its description in RNAcentral is "bacterial SSU rRNA". It matches the Rfam family "Bacterial small subunit ribosomal RNA", at positions 998 to 1533 of the family's 1533-position model. The record is from RNAcentral.
AUUCCGAAAGGAGUAUCUUCUCACAAGGACGUUGGGACAGGUGUUGCACGGCCCUCGUCAGUUCGUGGUGUGAAUUGUUCCCUUAAGUGGGGUAACGAACGCAACCCUCAUUGCCUGUUAUAAGUGUCAGGCGAGACUGCCUCAUUUCAUGGGGAGGAAGGUGGGGAUGACGCGAGGUCAGCGUGGCCCUUUGAUAUCCUGGGCUACACACGUGAUACAAUGGUACACACAAUGGGUCGCCAAAGCGCGAGCUGGAGCUAAUCCCAUCAAAAUGUACCCCAGUUCAGAUUGGAGUCUGCAACUCGACUCCAUGAAGCCGGAAUCGCUAGUAAACGCAGAUCAGCUAUGCUGCGUUGAAUACGUUCUCGAAUCUUGUACUCACAAUAAAAGCGCUCGGCAGGUUAUGUUGCUAGGCAGUUUAAAUCUGCUCCUCC